AGUGAACGCUGGCGGUGUGCUUAACACAUGCAAGUCGAUCGGUAACAGGUGUAGCAAUACAUGCUGACGAGAGGCGGACGGGUGAGGAACGCUAGGGAAUCUGCCCAUCAGCGGGGGACAACCCGGGGAAACUUGGGCUAAUACCGCAUACGCUCUACGGAGGAAAGCUGGGGACCGCAAGGCCUGGCACUGAUGGAUGAGCCUAAGUCGGAUUAGCUAGUUGGCGGGGUAACGGCUCACCAAGGCGACGAUCCGUAGCUGGUCUGAGAGGACGAUCAGCCACACUGGGACGGAGACACGGCCCAGACUCCUACGGGAGGCAGCAGUGGGGAAUAUUGGACAAUGGGGGAAACCCUGAUCCAGCGACGCCGCGUGGGUGAAGAAGGCCUGCGGGUUGUAAAGCCCUUUCGAUAGGGACGAAAGCUCUCGACCUAACACGUCGGGAGGUUGACUUAACCUACAAAAGAAGCACCGGCUAACUCUGUGCCAGCCGCCGCCGUAA
RNAcentral lists this ribosomal RNA (502 nucleotides) under uncultured bacterium. RNAcentral describes it as "partial 16S ribosomal RNA". It matches the Rfam family "Bacterial small subunit ribosomal RNA", at positions 29 to 523 of the family's 1533-position model. The record is from RNAcentral.